GACGAACGCUGGCGGCGUGCCUAAUACAUGCAAGUAGAACGCUGAAGAGAGGAGCUUGCUCUUCUUGGAUGAGUUGCGAACGGGUGAGUAACGCGUAGGUAACCUGCCUUGUAGCGGGGGAUAACUAUUGGAAACGAUAGCUAAUACCGCAUAACAAUGGAUGACACAUGUCAUUUAUUUGAAAGGGGCAAUUGCUCCACUACAAGAUGGACCGACGUUGUAUUAGCUAGUAGGUGAGGUAACGGCUCACCUAGGCGACGAUACAUAGCCGACCGGAGAGGAGGAGCAGUAACACGGGAACUGAGAAACGGGCCAGACUCCGACGGGAGGCAGCAGUGGGGAAUAGUGGACAAUGGGCGAAAGCCUGAUCCAGCCAUGCCGCGUGUGGGAAGAAGGUCUGCGGAUUGUAAAGCACGUUAAGUUGGGAGGAAGGGCAGGAAGUUAAGACCUUGCUGUUUGGACGUUACCAACAGAAUAAGCACCGGCGAACUUCGU
This 495-nucleotide ribosomal RNA is filed under the name uncultured bacterium. RNAcentral describes it as "partial 16S ribosomal RNA". It matches the Rfam family "Bacterial small subunit ribosomal RNA", at positions 28 to 506 of the family's 1533-position model. The record is from RNAcentral.